Molecule: non-coding RNA, 22 nt
Filed under: Arabidopsis thaliana (thale cress)
Lineage: Eukaryota; Viridiplantae; Streptophyta; Magnoliopsida; Brassicales; Brassicaceae
Source: RNAcentral
UGCUCAGGUGUCUGCAUAUGAG